GACGAACGCUGGCGGCGUGCUUAACACAUGCAAGUCGAACGGAAAGGCCCUGCUUUUGUGGGGUGCUCGAGUGGCGAACGGGUGAGUAACACGUGAGUAACCUGCCCUUGACUUUGGGAUAACUUCAGGAAACUGGGGCUAAUACCGGAUAGGAGCUCCUGCUGCAUGGUGGGGGUUGGAAAGUUUCGGCGGUUGGGGAUGGACUCGCGGCUUAUCAGCUUGUUGGUGGGGUAGUGGCUUACCAAGGCUUCGACGGGUAGCCGGCCUGAGAGGGUGACAGGCCACCUUGGGACUGAGAUACGGCCCAGACUCCUACGGGAGGCACCAGUGGGGAAUAUUGCACAAUGGGCGGAGGCCUGAUGCAGCAACGCCGCGUGCGGGAUGACGGCCUUCGGGUUGUAAACCGCUUUCGCCUGUGACGAAGCGUGAGUGACGGUAAUGGGUAAAGAAGCACCGGCUAACUACGUG
Molecule: ribosomal RNA, 468 nt
Filed under: uncultured bacterium
Lineage: Bacteria
Description: partial 16S ribosomal RNA
Rfam family: Bacterial small subunit ribosomal RNA
Source: RNAcentral